UACAGAGGGGGCAAGCGUUAUUCGGAAUUAUUGGGCGUAAAGGGCGCGUAGGCGGCAUCGCAAGUGGAAGGUGAAAUCCCCGGGCUCAACCCGGGAACUGCGUCCGAUACUGGCAGGCUUGAAUCCGGGAGAGGGAUGCGGAAUUCCAGGUGUAGCGGUGAAAUGCGUAGAUAUCUGGAGGAACACCGGUGGCGAAGGCGGCAUCCUGGACCGGCAUUGACGCUGAGGCGCGAAAGCCAGGGGAGCAAACGGG
RNAcentral lists this ribosomal RNA (253 nucleotides) under uncultured bacterium. RNAcentral's name for it is "partial 16S ribosomal RNA". It matches the Rfam family "Bacterial small subunit ribosomal RNA", at positions 524 to 776 of the family's 1533-position model. The record is from RNAcentral.